CCCAGACUCCUACGGGAGGCAGCAGUGAGGAAUAUUGGUCAAUGGCCGCAGGGCUGAACCAGCCAAGUCGCGUGAGGGAUGACGGUCCUAUGGAUUGUAAACCUCUUUUGCCGGGGAGCAACGGGGUCCUUGCGAGGGCCCAAUGAGAGUACCCGGAGAAAAAGCAUCGGCUAACUCCGUGCCAGCAGCCGCGGUAAUACGGAGGAUGCGAGCGUUAUCCGGAUUUAUUGGGUUUAAAGGGUGCGCAGGCGGAGGUGCAAGUCAGCGGUCAAAUUGCGGGGCUCAACCCCGUACUGCCGUUGAAACUGCAUCCCUUGAGUGCGCGAGAAGUAUGCGGAAUGCGUGGUGUAGCGGUGAAAUGCAUAGAUAUCACGCAGAACUCCGAUUGCGAAGGCAGCAUACCGGCGCGCAACUGACGCUCAUGCACGAAAGCGUGGGUAUCGAACAGGAUUAGAUACCCUCGUAU
Molecule: ribosomal RNA, 466 nt
Filed under: uncultured bacterium
Lineage: Bacteria
Description: bacterial SSU rRNA
Rfam family: Bacterial small subunit ribosomal RNA
Source: RNAcentral